AGUGAACGCUGGCGGUAGGCCUAACACAUGCAAGUCGAACGGCAGCACAGUAAGAGCUUGCUCUUACGGGUGGCGAGUGGCGGACGGGUGAGGAAUACGUCGGAAUCUACUUUUUCGUGGGGGAUAACGUAGGGAAACUUACGCUAAUACCGCAUACGACCUACGGGUGAAAGCAGGGGAUCUUCGGACCUUGCGCGAUUGAAUGAGCCGAUGUCGGAUUAGCUAGUUGGCGGGGUAAAGGCCCACCAAGGCGACGAUCCGUAGCUGGUCUGAGAGGAUGAUCAGCCACACUGGAACUGAGACACGGUCCAGACUCCUACGGGAGGCCGCAGUGGGGAAUAUUGGACAAUGGGCGCAAGCCUGAUCCAGCCAUACCGCGUGGGUGAAGAAGGCCUUCGGGUUGUAAAGCCCUUUUGUUGGGAAAGAAAAGCAGCAGGUUAAUACCCCGCUGUUCUGACGGUACCCAAAGAAUAAGCACCGGCUAACUUCGUG
RNAcentral lists this ribosomal RNA (492 nucleotides) under uncultured bacterium. Its description in RNAcentral is "partial 16S ribosomal RNA". It matches the Rfam family "Bacterial small subunit ribosomal RNA", at positions 29 to 507 of the family's 1533-position model. The record is from RNAcentral.